GAUGAACGCUGGCGGCGUGCCUAAUACAUGCAAGUCGAACGGGGAGUAGCAAUACUCUUAGUGGCGAACGGGUGAGUAACGCGUUGGUACCUGCCCCGAAGCGGGGGAUAACGGACCGAAAGGUCCGCUAAUACCCCAUGUGCUCGGUAACGAGUAAAGGUGAAAACCACUUUGGGAGGGGCCUGCGUCCCAUCAGCUAGUUGGUAAGGUAACGGCUUACCAAGGCGAUGACGGGUAGGGGACCUGAGAGGGUGGCCCCCCACAAUGGAACUGAAACACGGUCCAUACACCUACGGGUGGCAGCAGUAGGGAAUAUUGGUAAUGGGCGCAAGCCUGAACCAGCAACGCCGCGUGUGCGAUGACGGCCUUCGGGUUGUAAAGCACUUUUGACUGGGACGAGGAAGGACGGUACCGAUCGAAUCAGCCUCGGCUAACUACGUG
This 441-nucleotide ribosomal RNA is filed under the name uncultured bacterium. RNAcentral's name for it is "partial 16S ribosomal RNA". It matches the Rfam family "Bacterial small subunit ribosomal RNA", at positions 28 to 507 of the family's 1533-position model. The record is from RNAcentral.